AAAGCAUCACAUUAGGAUAUGAAUUGGCAUUAAAAUCUUUGGAUGCUUUUUGCAUUGUUUAGUUAAUGGGGGAAUAUUUUGUAUUGUCUUCUUUUUAUUAUUAUGUGUGUGUUAACAAAGUGGGCAGAGUAAAGUUUGCAGAAUUUAGUCUCUCUGUAAAUUUUUGCACAGUGGCUGCAGCUCGCUAUGGGUGAGGGCUUAGUGGUGCAAAGCUUUGAUUGGAAGGCACUGGAGGAACACCUCCCAGUACAUUCAGCCUGGUUCUUACUCAUCUUAGCCUUGUGAGGUAUACUGCAGUAUGAAGAAUUUAUUUCUUUAACUCAAUAGUGACCUUGUUUAUUUAAUUGGGAUUCUUAACAAAAUUCUUAGUCUGCAGUGAAGAAGUAAGAAAUGCCUCCAUUUUGUGUUGACUAACACUGUCUGCCUAAAAGUAUUUCCUUCACGUGUUCACUU
Molecule: long non-coding RNA, 453 nt
Filed under: Bos taurus (domestic cattle)
Lineage: Eukaryota; Metazoa; Chordata; Mammalia; Artiodactyla; Bovidae
Description: long non-coding RNA NONBTAT016290
Source: RNAcentral